Molecule: ribosomal RNA, 403 nt
Filed under: uncultured bacterium
Lineage: Bacteria
Description: partial 16S ribosomal RNA
Rfam family: Bacterial small subunit ribosomal RNA
Source: RNAcentral
GACGAACGCUGCCGGCGUGCCUAAUACAUGCAAGUCGAACGCAGUGGGGACGGGUGAGUAACACGUGGGUACCCUCCCAUCAGAGGGGAUAACACUUGGAAACAGGUGCUAAACCGAUACUGAUGGCUGGACCCGCGGUGCAUUAGUUAGUUGGUGAGGUAACGGCGCACCAAGGCCACGAUGCAUAGGCGACCUUCGAAGGUGUUCGGCGACAAUAGGAGUGAGACACGGUCCAGACGCCUAAGGGACGCAGCAGUAGGGUAUCUUCGGCAAUGGACGCGAGUCUGACCGAGCAACGCGGAGGGAGGGAAGGAAGUUUCGGGUUCGUAAAACGCUCUGGUAAGUGAAGCGGUAUUCAACCAGAAAGCCACGGCUAACUACGUGCCGGCAGCCGCGGUAAUAC